RNAcentral lists this ribosomal RNA (489 nucleotides) under uncultured bacterium. RNAcentral describes it as "partial 16S ribosomal RNA". It matches the Rfam family "Bacterial small subunit ribosomal RNA", at positions 30 to 506 of the family's 1533-position model. The record is from RNAcentral.
AUUGAACGCUGGCGGCAGGCCUAACACAUGCGAGUCGAACGGUAACAGAAAGCAGCUUGCUGCUUUUCUGACGAGUGGCGGACGGGUGAGUAAUGUCUGGGAAACUGCCUGAUGGAGGGGGAUAACUACUGGAAACGGUAGCUAAUACCGCAUAACGUCGCAAGACCAAAGAGGGGGACCUUCGGGCCUCUUGCCAUCGGAUGUGCCCAGAUGGGAUUAGCUAGUAGGUGGGGUAAAGGCUCACCUAGGCGACGAUCCCUAGCUGGUCUGAGAGGAUGACCAGCCACACUGGAACUGAGAGACGGUCCAGACUCCUACGGGAGGCAGCAGUGGGGAAUAUUGCACAAUGGGCGCAAGCCUGAUGCAGCCAUGCCGCGUGUAUGAAGAAGGCCUGCGGGUUGUAAAGUAACUUCAGCGGGGAGGAAGGGAGUAAAGUUAAUACCUUUGCUCAUGGACGUUACCAGCAGAAGAAGCACCGGCAAACUCCGU